This 245-nucleotide ribosomal RNA is filed under the name uncultured bacterium. RNAcentral's name for it is "partial 16S ribosomal RNA". It matches the Rfam family "Bacterial small subunit ribosomal RNA", at positions 118 to 347 of the family's 1533-position model. The record is from RNAcentral.
UGGGUAACCUGCCUCAAAGAGGGGAAUAGCCUCCCGAAAGGGAGAUUAAUACCGCAUAAGAUGUUUAAGUCGCAUGACUUUAACAUCAAAGGAUUUUCUUUUAGAACUUCCACUUUGAGAUGGACCCCGCGGCGCAUUAGCUAGUUGGUGAGGUAACGGCUCACCAAGGCAACGAUGCGUAGCCGACCUGAGAGGGUGAUCGGCCACAUUGGAACUGAGACACGGUCCAGACCUCCGUAGGGAGG